CUAGUGAUUAGUUUGAUCAUGGCUCAGAUUGAACGCUGGCGGCAGGCUUAACACAUGCAAGUCGAGCGGCAGCGGAAUGAAGCAUUUGUUUCAUUGCCGGCGAGCGGCGGACGGGUGAGUAAUGUAUGGGGAUCUACCCGAAGGCGGGGGAUAACCACUGGAAACGGUGGCUAAUACCGCAUUAUCUCUAAGGAGCAAAGUGGGGAGCAGGGGAUCUUUCGGGACCUUGCACUAUUGGAUGAGCCCGCGUGAGAUUAGCUAGUUGGUGGGGUAAAGGCCUACCAAGGCGACGAUCUCUAGCUGGUCUGAGAGGAUGAUCAGCCACACUGGGACUGAGACACGGCCCAGACUCCUACGGGAGGCAGCAGUGGGGAAUAUUGGACAAUGGGGGCAACCCUGAUCCAGCCAUGCCGCGUGUGUGAAGAAGGCCUUAGGGUUGUAAAGCACUUUCAGUGGGGAGGAAGGUAUCAAGUUUAAUAAACUUGGUAAUUGACGUUACCCACAGAAGAAGGACCGGCUAACUCCGUGCCAGCAGCCGCGGUAAUACGGAGGGUCCGAGCGUUAAUCGGAAUGACUGGGCGUAAAGCGCGCGUAGGUGGUUAUUUAAGUUGGAUGUGAAAGCCCAGGGCUCAACCUUGGAACUGCAUCCAAAACUGGGUAACUAGAGUACAGUAGAGGGGGGUAGAAUUUCAGGUGUAGCGGUGAAAUGCGUAGAGAUCUGAAGGAAUACCAGUGGCGAAGGCGGCCCCCUGGACUGAUACUGACACUGAGGUGCGAAAGCGUGGGUAGCGAACAGGAUUAGAUACCCUGGUAGUCCACGCCGUAAACGAUGUCUACUAGCCGUUGGGAGGCUUGACCUCUUAGUGGCGCAGCUAACGCGAUAAGUAGACCGCCUGGGGAGUACGGCCGCAAGGUUAAAACUCAAAUGAAUUGACGGGGGCCCGCACAAGCGGUGGAGCAUGUGGUUUAAUUCGACGCAACGCGAAGAACCUUACCUACUCUUGACAUCCAGUGAACUUUCCAGAGAUGGAUUGGUGCCUUCGGGAACUGAGUGACAGGUGCUGCAUGGCUGUCGUCAGCUCGUGUCGUGCGAUGUUGGGUUAAGUCCCGCAACGAGCGCAACCCUUGUCCUUAGUUGGCCAGCCUUAAGUUGGGCACUCUAAGGAGACUGCCGGUGACAAACCGGAGGAAGGUGGGGAUGACGUCAAGUCAUUAUGGCCCUUACGAGUAGGGCUACACACGUGCUACAAUGGCGAGUACAGAGGGAAGCGAACCUGUGAGGGUAAGCGGAUCCCUUAAAGCUCGUCGUAGUCCGGAUUGGAGUCUGCAACUCGACUCCAUGAAGUCGGAAUCGCUAGUAAUCGCAAAUUAGAAUGUUGCGGUGAAUAUGUUCUCGGGCCUUGUAUAUAUCGCCCGUCACACCAUGGGAGUGGGUUGCAAAAGAAGUAGCUAGUUUAAUUUUUGGGAGGAUGGUUACUAUUUUGUGAUUCAAUGACUGGGGUGAAGUCGUAACAA
Molecule: ribosomal RNA, 1515 nt
Filed under: uncultured prokaryote
Description: partial 16S ribosomal RNA
Rfam family: Bacterial small subunit ribosomal RNA
Source: RNAcentral